CUAGAGUUUGAUCCUGGCUCAGGACGAACGCUGGCGGCGUGCCUAAUACAUGCAAGUCGAGCGGAGAUUUGAAAAGCUUGCUUUUCAAAUCUUAGCGGCGGACGGGUGAGUAACACGUGGGCAACCUGCCCUUGAGACGGGGAUAACUCCGGGAAACCGGAGCUAAUACCGGAUAACACAUAUCUUCGCAUGAGGAUAUGUUAGAAGGUGGCUUUUAGCUACCACUCAAGGAUGGGCCCGCGGCGCAUUAGCUAGUUGGUGAGGUAACGGCUCACCAAGGCGACGAUGCGUAGCCGACCUGAGAGGGUGAUCGGCCACACUGGGACUGAGACACGGCCCAGACUCCUACGGGAGGCAGCAGUAGGGAAUCUUCCGCAAUGGACGAAAGUCUGACGGAGCAACGCCGCGUGAGUGAUGAAGGUUUUCGGAUCGUAAAGCUCUGUUGUUAGGGAAGAACAAGUACCUGUUAAAUAAGCAGGUACCUUGACGGUACCUAACCAGAAAGCCACGGCUAACUACGUGCCAGCAGCCGCGGUAAUACGUAGGUGGCAAGCGUUGUCCGGAAUUAUUGGGCGUAAAGCGCGCGCAGGCGGUUCCUUAAGUCUGAUGUGAAAGCCCACGGCUCAACCGUGGAGGGUCAUUGGAAACUGGGGAACUUGAGUGCAGAAGAGGAGAGCGGAAUUCCACGUGUAGCGGUGAAAUGCGUAGAGAUGUGGAGGAACACCAGUGGCGAAGGCGGCUCUCUGGUCUGUAACUGACGCUGAGGCGCGAAAGCGUGGGGAGCGAACAGGAUUAGAUACCCUGGUAGUCCACGCCGUAAACGAUGAGUGCUAAGUGUUAGAGGGUUUCCGCCCUUUAGUGCUGCAGCAAACGCAUAAGCACUCCGC
This 887-nucleotide ribosomal RNA is filed under the name Priestia filamentosa. RNAcentral's name for it is "bacterial SSU rRNA". It matches the Rfam family "Bacterial small subunit ribosomal RNA", at positions 1 to 872 of the family's 1533-position model. The record is from RNAcentral. Lineage: Bacteria; Bacillati; Bacillota; Bacilli; Caryophanales; Bacillaceae.